This 1611-nucleotide small RNA is filed under the name Pongo abelii (Sumatran orangutan). RNAcentral describes it as "retained intron". Lineage: Eukaryota; Metazoa; Chordata; Mammalia; Primates; Hominidae. The record is from RNAcentral.
GAGAUGGAGUCUCGCCCUGUUGCCCAGGCUGGAGUGCAGUGGCGUGAUCUUGGCUCGCUGCAUCCUCUGCCUCCUGGGUUCAAACGAUUCUCCUACGUCAGCCUCCCAAGUAGCUGGGAUUACAGGUGCCCGCCACUAUGCCCAGCUAUUUUUUUGUAUUUUUAGUAGAGACGGGGUUUUACCAUAUUGGCCAGGCUGGUCUUGAACUCCUGACCUUGUGAUCCGCCCGCCUAGGCCUCCCAAAGUGCUGGGAUUACAGGCGUGAGCCAUCACACCCUGUCAAGGUGUCAUUUUGUAUCAAUCUUUUUGUUACAGGACUUACCAGCCUGGCCUCUAUUUAGUAAACAUGUGUUGACUGAAUGAAUUUCCAGGGUAAGAUAUUUCUCAUACCCUAUCUCUUUCUCCUAUAAAGUUCAAAAUGAUUUUAGUCAUAUAGAUACUUUAUGUAAUAUACUAUGCCAAACUGACUAGUGACUGGCAUAAGAACAAUUAUAUAAAGAAAGGCCAGCGUGGAUGCGGGAGCCAGACCGCGUGGAUUCGAAUCCCUCAUUCCUGGCUGUGUGACCUGGGCUGGUUUCUUAGGCUCUGUGUGCCUCACGCUCUUCAUCUGUCAAGUUCCUUCUAGGGUGGCGGCGAAGAUUGAAAUCUUUAGUACACGUAAAGGACUUCAAAGGGCACAGAGUAAGCCCUCCGUGUGUGUGAGGUGCCAUGUCCCAGUGCCCCAGGCUGGUCCUGGGGUGCUAAAGAGGAAUGUGCUGUUACAGGAAUCAUUGACCUUCAAGGACGUGUUUGUGGACUUCACCCUGGAGGAGUGGCAGCAACUGGACUCUGCCCAGAAGAACCUCUACAGGGAUGUCAUGCUUGAGAACUACAGUCACCUGGUGUCCGUGGGGUAUCUAGUUGCGAAGCCAGAUGUGAUCUUCAGGUUGGGACCAGGUGAAGAGUCCUGGAUGGCAGAUGGAGGGACCCCGGUACGGACCUGUGCAGGUGAGGACAGGCCAGGUGAGUCAGGCCAGGGAAAAGGGACCAGGUUGGUUGGUGAGAUCUUGGCCUCUGGGAUGUGCUCAGGAGCCCUUCUCAGAGCCUCAGACUUGUGGACAUGCCUAGGCUCUGAUGAGCGGAACUGUUGUCAUGUCCAAAUGAGGCUUCUGCCUGGCCGCCGGUUACAGUCUCUGUGUUCUUUGCUUGGCAUUCACAUAGAUUGUGGCCACUCUUGUUCUGAGAUCCCAUUUCUACCUUCCAACCUCCUGGCUUGUUAGUGAGAAGUGCCAAGCCCCUUCUCAUUCCUCUCACCCUGUCCUUUCUGGAAGCUUUUAGAACUUUUUCUCCCUUCUUGUGCUUAUGUAUUUUUACCAGACUAGAUGCAAAUGUCAGCAUUUCCUCUUUACUUGGCAUACUGUGGGCCCUUUCAGGCUGAAAGUUGGAGUCUUUUUUUUUUUAGACUCAAGGAAAUUAUCAUACAUUAUUUUUUGGAGUUGGUAUAGGCAACAAAGCUUUGCUAGUGACCUUUACUCUACCCAGCCUGGUACCCACCAUGUUCUUGCCUGCUCUUAUUUUGUUGUAAACACUGUAAACCUCACACUGUUUUCUAUUUUCUCUUUGUAUUCCUUC